UUCCCUUGCCAUUCCUCAUCCCUUGUUUGGUUGUCAAACAAGGUGAGGAAUAGGAAUUCCUAAGGAAUAGAAAUUCCUCAGAUUUGUCUUUGGGGUGGGAAUGGCUAAUACCAGUCCCUCCCUUGGUAUUAUCUAUUCCGUGAACGGGGAAUAAGUUUGAAAUAUCAUUUGACUAAAAUACCCUCAAUUGAUUCAUAAUAUCACGAUUAUGUCCCAUAUAAAACCUACUUUGUUUUCACUCUCUUUCUCCUUCCUCUGUCUUCCUCAGCACUUUCAGCCGCCCUUCCCCCGAAAAGCAUCUCCUCUCUCAGCCGACCUUCCCCU
This 324-nucleotide long non-coding RNA is filed under the name Theobroma cacao (cacao). RNAcentral describes it as "long non-coding RNA (TCAC_LNC005393)". Lineage: Eukaryota; Viridiplantae; Streptophyta; Magnoliopsida; Malvales; Malvaceae. The record is from RNAcentral.